CCCUGAUCUGCCUCGUUGACAGUCUCAGCCAAUCCUAUGGGGAAGCAUUGUAAUUUGUGCAGACCACCACUUCUGAUGAUGUCAAUACAAGUAAAAGUUUACUAUAUUUAGGGAGGCAAGAGGAGGCCAGGGGGGCUAAAUUGUGGUUUUAACAUUAUAAGGUCAGAAAUACAUGAUUGUGUUCCUGACCCUCUAGUGUUCCUUUAAGCAAGAGUAUGUGAAGAGUAGUUAGGGUUGCCACCUUUCUUGGAAAAAAAUACCAGCCUUAUACAUUUGAAUAAUUAAUUAGUUAUGUGUGACAUCACAUGAUGUAAAUCACAAGGAGUGACAUAAGAGAAAAUUCUGUAAAAUCACCAACAAACUACUCACAGUUUGAUUCUGCUGUAUAGAUGGAUUGCUCCCAGUGUCUCCCUGUCUCCCAGUGUCUCAGUCUCGCAAGUCACCC
Molecule: non-coding RNA, 445 nt
Organism: Pelobates cultripes (western spadefoot toad)
Lineage: Eukaryota; Metazoa; Chordata; Amphibia; Anura; Pelobatidae
Source: the annotation of a GenBank genome assembly